This 95-nucleotide transfer RNA is filed under the name Planotetraspora mira. Its description in RNAcentral is "tRNA-Val". The record is from RNAcentral. Lineage: Bacteria; Bacillati; Actinomycetota; Actinomycetes; Streptosporangiales; Streptosporangiaceae.
ACGUUGUCCUGGCUGAGCUGGGUGUGCAGCCGCCCGCCGACGCCGGGCAGCGGGUCGAUCUGCCCGACCGGGAUGUUCGCCCGUCUGGCGACCUG